This 1108-nucleotide ribosomal RNA is filed under the name Pochonia chlamydosporia var. spinulospora. Its description in RNAcentral is "SSU rRNA". It matches the Rfam family "Eukaryotic small subunit ribosomal RNA", at positions 31 to 1151 of the family's 1831-position model. Lineage: Eukaryota; Fungi; Ascomycota; Sordariomycetes; Hypocreales; Clavicipitaceae. The record is from RNAcentral.
CUUGUCUCAAAGAUUAAGCCAUGCAUGUCUAAGUAUAAGCAAUUAUACAGCGAAACUGCGAAUGGCUCAUUAUAUAAGUUAUCGUUUAUUUGAUAGUACCUUACUACUUGGAUAACCGUGGUAAUUCUAGAGCUAAUACAUGCUAAAAAUCCCGACUUCGGAAGGGAUGUAUUUAUUAGAUUAAAAACCAAUGCCCUCUGGGCUCCUUGGUGAUUCAUGAUAACUUCUCGAAUCGCAUGGCCUUGCGCCGGCGAUGGUUCAUUCAAAUUUCUUCCCUAUCAACUUUCGAUGUUUGGGUAGUGGCCAAACAUGGUUGCAACGGGUAACGGAGGGUUAGGGCUCGACCCCGGAGAAGGAGCCUGAGAAACGGCUACUACAUCCAAGGAAGGCAGCAGGCGCGCAAAUUACCCAAUCCCGAUUCGGGGAGGUAGUGACAAUAAAUACUGAUACAGGGCUCUUUUGGGUCUUGUAAUUGGAAUGAGUACAAUUUAAAUCCCUUAACGAGGAACAAUUGGAGGGCAAGUCUGGUGCCAGCAGCCGCGGUAAUUCCAGCUCCAAUAGCGUAUAUUAAAGUUGUUGUGGUUAAAAAGCUCGUAGUUGAACCUUGGGCCUGGCUGGCCGGUCCGCCUCACCGCGUGUACUGGUCCGGCCGGGUCUUUCCCUCUGUGGAACCCCAUGCCCUUCACUGGGUGUGGCGGGGAAACAGGACUUUUACUUUGAAAAAAUUAGAGUGCUCCAGGCAGGCCUAUGCUCGAAUACAUUAGCAUGGAAUAAUGAAAUAGGACGUGCGGUUCUAUUUUGUUGGUUUCUAGGACCGCCGUAAUGAUUAAUAGGGACAGUCGGGGGCAUCAGUAUUCAAUUGUCAGAGGUGAAAUUCUUGGAUUUAUUGAAGACUAACUACUGCGAAAGCAUUUGCCAAGGAUGUUUUCAUUAAUCAGGAACGAAAGUUAGGGGAUCGAAGACGAUCAGAUACCGUCGUAGUCUUAACCAUAAACUAUGCCGACUAGGGAUCGGACGAUGUUAUUUAUUGACUCGUUCGGCACCUUACGAGAAAUCAAAGUGCUUGGGCUCCAGGGGGAGUAUGGUCGCAAGGCUGAAACUUAAAGGA